RNAcentral lists this ribosomal RNA (241 nucleotides) under uncultured bacterium. Its description in RNAcentral is "partial 16S ribosomal RNA". It matches the Rfam family "Bacterial small subunit ribosomal RNA", at positions 116 to 353 of the family's 1533-position model. The record is from RNAcentral.
CGUGGGUAACCUGCCUUAUAGUGGGGGAUAGCCUUUCGAAAGGAAGAUUAAUACCGCAUAAGAUUGUAGUAUCGCAUGAUAUAGCAAUUAAAGGAGCAAUCCGCUAUAAGAUGGACCCGCGUCGCAUUAGCUAGUUGGUGAGGUGAUGGCUCACCAAGGCGACGAUGCGUAGCCGACCUGAGUGGGUGAUCGGCCACAUUGGGACUGAGACACGGCCCAGACUCCUACGGGAGGCAGCAUG